AUCUACAGCCAUACCAUCCUGAACGCACCCAGUCUCGUCUGAUCUUGGAAGCUAAGCAGAGUCGGGCCUGCUUAGUACUUGGAUGGGAGAAAACCAAAGCACAGAGAGGUUAAGUAAUUC
Ribosomal RNA from Vicugna pacos (alpaca), 120 nucleotides. Lineage: Eukaryota; Metazoa; Chordata; Mammalia; Artiodactyla; Camelidae. The record is from Ensembl.